This 408-nucleotide long non-coding RNA is filed under the name Pan troglodytes (chimpanzee). RNAcentral's name for it is "long non-coding RNA NONPTRT000326". Lineage: Eukaryota; Metazoa; Chordata; Mammalia; Primates; Hominidae. The record is from RNAcentral.
UGGACCUGCCCAGGACCUGGGGGAACUCCUUGCCAUGAAGGGAAGUAAACUGUCCUGGUUGGCCUUGCCACUUGCUGAGUAUAGGAACCCAAGGCCUUGAGUGAACAUAGGCGGUAGCCAGGGAAUGGUUAAAUCAGGCCUUGGGUGAGACUCAGUGCUGUGCUGGCAUCAGGUCUGAACCAGUGCAGUCCUAGUCGUGGUGGCCACAGAAGUGAUUUUGUCACUCCACCCCCAAAACAAGUAUUUAAACAUUUUUUUAAAAAACCUGAAAUAAUAUCAAGUAACUUCUCUUACUACAAUGGAACAACACUAGAAAUCAAUAACAAGAGGAAUUUUGGAAGCUAUACAAACACAUGGAAUUAAAUAAUAUGCUUCUGAAUGACUAGUGGGUCGAUGAAUAAAUUAAGA